This is a long non-coding RNA of Morus notabilis, 174 nucleotides long. RefSeq lists it as uncharacterized. The record is from RefSeq and is a predicted model, not a curated record. The transcript is spliced from 3 exons. Lineage: Eukaryota; Viridiplantae; Streptophyta; Magnoliopsida; Rosales; Moraceae.
CGAUACCAACAGAGGUUUUUAAUCUGUCAAUGCUUGAGUCUCUGACCAUAAGUGAUGUCGGAACAUCCUCGUUCCAGUUGCCAUCGUCCCCACACCUUCCCCAAAUUAAAACGCUGAUACUGAGGAACUGUUCAAUCAAUGGUUCAAUCCCCAUGUUCAUUAGUGAGUCUUCAU